GAUGAACGCUGGCGGCGUGCCUAAUACAUGCGAGUCGAGCGAACGGACGAGAAGCUUGCUUCUCUGAUGUUAGCGGCGGACGGGUGAGUAACACGUGGAUAACCUACCUAUAAGACUGGGAUAACUUCGGGAAACCGGAGCUAAUAUCGGAUGAUAUUUUGAACCGCAUGGUUCAAAAGUGAAAGACGGUCUUGCUGUCACUUAUAGAUGGAUCCGCGCUGCAUUAGCUAGUUGGUAAGGUAACGGCUUACCAAGGCAACGAUGCAUAGCCGACCUGAGAGGGUGAUCGGCCACACUGGAACUGAGACACGGUCCAGACUCCUACGGGAGGCAGCAGUAGGGAAUCUUCCGCAAUGGGCGAAAGCCUGACGGAGCAACGCCGCGUGAGUGAUGAAGGUCUUCGGAUCGUAAAACUCUGUUAUUAGGGAAGAACAGAUGUGUAAGUAACUGUGCACAUCUUGACGGUACCUAAUCAGAAAGCCACGGCUAACUACGU
RNAcentral lists this ribosomal RNA (496 nucleotides) under uncultured bacterium. Its description in RNAcentral is "partial 16S ribosomal RNA". It matches the Rfam family "Bacterial small subunit ribosomal RNA", at positions 28 to 506 of the family's 1533-position model. The record is from RNAcentral.